This is a non-coding RNA of Papilio machaon (common yellow swallowtail), 88 nucleotides long. NCBI's taxonomy places the organism in Eukaryota, Metazoa, Arthropoda, Insecta, Lepidoptera, Papilionidae. The record is from Rfam.
CCUUCGAUAGCUCAGUUGGUAGAGCGGUGGACUGUAGAGGACUUUCACUGACAUCCAUAGGUCGCUGGUUCAAAUCCGGCUCGAAGGA